AUGCUCCCGGCAGCCCCCGCUGCUCGGUGGGACGUGGGCAACUCGCCCCCCCGGGGAAGGAUGGAGCUGGGGGGAGCGGAGAGGAAGGAUCCCUGCUCCUCUCCUCUCCCUCCGGCAGCAGGAGGGUUGCGCUCCGCUCGCCCCUCCGGUCCCCGCUGUGUUUGGGGGGGGGGGGGUUGGGUUUGGGUGGGUGGGUGGGUGCAGCAGGGGGGCCCCGCAACAGGCAGCAGCUGCGCUCGGAGCCCACCCAGGGCGAGACACGCAGGGGCAUCGCCUCCCACGGCUGGGGGGGGGGGAUCCACAGCUCAGCAGGACCCUGGAUCCAGCCGCCCUGAACAGUUCCUGCAGCCCACUGGGGCCAAAAGUCCAAGCAGGCUGCUGUGGGUGUGUACUCCCACCUACCCUCUGGUUUUGGGAUUUUUUUUUUUUUUUUUUUUUUUUCCCCCUCCUGCUUCAGAGCAACUAAUUUUCAUCCCGUUCCCAGCCAGGCUGGGUAACUCCAAUCAGCUCAACUCCCCCUGGAAGCACCGGGAAGGAAAGCUGGGCUUCAGCUUCUCGCUCCCCUGCUGCAAGGUGGCUGCAGAGUCACGCGUGGAGGAAGGCACUCACCCCUGCCCUCCCCCACGGAAGCUGGACAGCAGCUCAUCAGGGAGGACAGAGCCCCGAGGGGACUUCUCAGCUGCAGGAUGUGGGUAUAAUAAGCUUGUAUUUGUUGAGCCGCAGCAAAAAUCCCCGCGUGAGGGGUCAGCUGUGGAUCGAGGCUCUGCAGGGUGGCGUGGGGGGGGGGGGGGGGGGGUUGGCUCACGGCUCCCUCGGUCCUCAAGUGCAUCAGCCACGCUUCCCUUCACAGGCGUUGCCGUGAUCCCAGCAGCCACGCAGAGAUCCCAAGGUGUCCCCCGAGGGUGGCGAGUCUCUGUGACUUCGGUCAGGAGUGAAUCCCCACGGUGGGAAAAGGCCCACUCGGGAGCAGCGAGAUUUUGCCGUUGCAGCGUCCGGCCUCACCCUCAAAUGCAGCCAAAGGGACAUCAGCUCACCACACAGCUGAAAGCUGCAGGGUUGUUUUUUUUUUUUUUUUUUUUGAAGUUUUUCCUGCUGCCUGCCUAUUUUCUCUAGUUCUCCUUUGGCUACGAGAUUCUCUGCCUCCGCUCUUCACCAGGGGGGCUCAGGCUUUCCAGGUGUCCCCCCCCCAACCGCCUCCUGCACCAAGACGCGCAGCUCUCAUCCGUGUGGGACAGGAGGAACGCGGGACAGACCAUCCCUCCGCAGCAGAUCCCUCCCAGGCGGGGAUGUGGACGAAGGACAGAAGGGAGAGGAAAUUGCAAAGCCACACUUGACUGCCACCAGGGGAGGAAGGUGGGAGACACAAGAAAACCUGAAGGAACUGGAAAACCAGUUCAGUCUCUGCACACAACCAACGUCGCACCUGAAAAUGACCCAGCUCAGCGAUGGACACAGUUCACUUGCAGCAGAACAGCAGCAGUUGUCAGCUUUGUGAGCUUAUCCUCCACCCUCCCUUUUCAGUCACUCAGAGCUAGAAAUGAGCUGUGUAUGAAGCAACCCUGGUUCCAGAGGAAGUGGUAAAUUUAGUCAUUGGGGUUUUUUUAAAGGCAACUUCUGCAUUUUCAACAGAAAUGACAGUCUUAAACCUUGUAAAGCAAUGCUGCGAGCCAGAUAACCCCCUCCAGAGCACAGCCUGCCUUGGCCUCAAGGCAGCAAUACAGUUAAGAGUAACUAGACCACAUGAAUAAAGGAAGUUACGUGCAAAUGCCUCCGCGAGUUACCGAGGCUCAGAACUGAACUUCCAAAGGUACAGUCGUCUGGAGAAAAAAGAUCUGCACAGAAGCCAGACCCCGCUGGUAGCUCUCAUAACUGUGCUUCAUUUCUCCACCAGUCGUCAUAAACACAGAAUUUUAUAGGCUGAGCACUCGGCUCUAACACAACACGCAGGCCUGGGUAGCCUCAUGCACUCAGAAAGUGAUUUGCUUUUCAUUUGUCCUCCUCAAAUCUGGCUCAGCAGAUUUUUGCCUCACUUUCCGCACGCAGCCUUUCACCCCGUAUCCUAGGUACUGCGCUCUGAGAAGCCUUUGUAUGAAUCCUAAAAGGUAACUACAAAUAAUUCUGGUCAUUCACCUUUGCAAAACUAUGAGCCACUAAACAGACAAUAAGAGACAUUCAUGUUAAUUUGCUGCUAUUACUGGAUUAAAUACUAGGCUGACGGAAUUAAGAGUAGUAGGACAAAAUCAUUCACCCUCUAAAAUCAUCGCCUCAAAGGGACAAUUCCCCUGAAGGAAGCCCAGCUGAAUCUUCACAUUGAGAUCAUCAGAAGUCCAGGUCUUCAUCUACUAACUUUAAGAAACCUUCUGUUAAGAUGAACUUUUC
Molecule: RNA transcript, 2379 nt
Organism: Tyto alba (common barn owl)
Lineage: Eukaryota; Metazoa; Chordata; Aves; Strigiformes; Tytonidae
Exons: 2
Source: RefSeq, a predicted model, not a curated record